RNAcentral lists this ribosomal RNA (1271 nucleotides) under metagenome. RNAcentral describes it as "SSU rRNA". It matches the Rfam family "Eukaryotic small subunit ribosomal RNA", at positions 482 to 1777 of the family's 1831-position model. The record is from RNAcentral.
AAUGCGGGACUCUAAGAGGCCCCGUAAUUGGAAUGAGUACACCUUAAAUCGUUUAACGAGUAUCAAUUGGAGGGCAAGUCUGGUGCCAGCAGCCGCGGUAAUUCCAGCUCCAAUAGCGUAUAUUAAAGUUGCUGCAGUUAAAAAGCUCGUAGUUGGAUCUGGGGCUUGAGGUCGCUGUCUAUCGUUUCGGCGAUGACGGUGAUGCUCAGCUCUGCUUGCCGGUGACUGUUGCGGUGUUCUUCACUGAGCGCUGUAGCAGCACGGCACGUUUACUUUGAAAAAAUUAGAGUGCUCAAAGCGUGCUUGUCGCUUGAAUGAUGUUGCAUGGAAUAAUGGAAUAGGACCUCGGUUCUAUUUUGUUGGUUUUCGGAGCUUGAGGUAAUGAUUAAGAGGGACGAACGGGGGCAUUCGUAUUGCGGUGUUAGAGGUGAAAUUCUUGGAUCGCCGCAAGACGGACUACUGCGAAAGCAUUUGCCAAGAACGCUUUCAUUAAUUAAGAACGAAAGUCAGAGGUUCGAAGACGAUCAGACACCGUCCUAGUUCUGACCAUAAACGAUGCCGACCAGCGAUCCGUAGUGGUUGCUUUAUGGACCCUACGGGCAGCCUCCGGGAAACCAAAGUAUUUGGGUUCCGGGGGAAGUAUGGUUCAAAGCUGAAACUUAAAGGAAUUGACGGAAGGGCACACCAGGAGUGGAGCCUGCGGCUUAAUUUGACACAACACGGGAAAACUCACCCGGUCCGGACACCGUAAGGAUUGACAGACUGAUAGCUCUUUCUUGAUUCGGUGGAUGGUGGUGCAUGGCCGUUCUUAGUUGGUGGAGUGAUUUGUCUGGUUAAUUCCGAUAACGAACGAGACUCUAGCCUGCUAAGUAGUGUUGCUAUUGUUAUAUGGUUGACACUUCUUAGAGGGACAAGUGGCAUUUAGCCACGCGAAAUUGAGCAAUAACAGGUCUGUGAUGCCCUUAGAUGUCCGGGGCCGCACGCGCGCUACACUGGAGAAGUCAGCGUGUGUUAUCCAAGUCCGAAAGGACUGGGUAAUCCGUUGAACCUUCUUCGUGCUUGGGACUGUGGCUUGGAACUAUUCCACAUGAACGAGGAAUUCCUAGUAAUUGCAAGUCAUAAGCUUGCGUUGAUUACGUCCCUGCCCUUUGUACACACCGCCCGUCGCUACUACCGAUUGAAUGGUUUAGCAAGGUCCUCGGAUCGUGGCCGUAGGGGCACGCAAGUGUUUCUGCGGUUUGCGAGAAGACGACCAAACUUGAUCAUUUAGA